RNAcentral lists this ribosomal RNA (163 nucleotides) under Dendropanax oligodontus. RNAcentral describes it as "5.8S ribosomal RNA". It matches the Rfam family "5.8S ribosomal RNA". From Rfam's summary of the family: 5.8S ribosomal RNA (5.8S rRNA) is a component of the large subunit of the eukaryotic ribosome. It is transcribed by RNA polymerase I as part of the 45S precursor that also contains 18S and 28S rRNA. Lineage: Eukaryota; Viridiplantae; Streptophyta; Magnoliopsida; Apiales; Araliaceae. The record is from RNAcentral.
AACGACUCUCGGCAACGGAUAUCUCGGCUCUCGCAUCGAUGAAGAACGUAGCGAAAUGCGAUACAUGGUGUGAAUUGCAGAAUCCCGUGAACCAUCGAGUCUUUGAACGCAAGUUGCGCCCGAAGCCAUUAGGCUGAGGGCACGUCUGCCUGGGCGUCACGCA